This 421-nucleotide ribosomal RNA is filed under the name uncultured Methanoregula sp. Its description in RNAcentral is "partial 16S ribosomal RNA". Lineage: Archaea; Methanobacteriati; Methanobacteriota; Methanomicrobia; Methanomicrobiales; Methanoregulaceae. The record is from RNAcentral.
GGACUACGAGGGUAUCUAAUCCGGUUUGCUCCCCCAGCUUUCGUCCCUCACUGUCGGAGCCGUUCUGGUGAGGCGCCUUCGCCACAGGUGGUCCCUCAAGGAUUACAGGAUUUCACUCCUACCCCUGAAGUACCCCUCACCUCUCCCGGUCCCUAGUCUGCCAGUAUCCCUGAAACGCCUUCCGGUUAAGCCGGAAGAUUUCCCCAGAGACUUAACAAACCAGCUACGAACGCUUUAAGCCCAGUAAUAGUGGCCACCACUCGAGCCGCCGGUAUUACCGCGGCGGCUGGCACCGGUCUUGCCCGGCCCUUUCUUCACUUGUUUUUUAAACAAAUGGACAGCCCGAUUUUACGGGCACUCGGAGUUCCCUUAUCACGGUUUCCCGCAUUGUAAAGUUUUCGCGCCUGCUGCCCCCCGUAGG